Falco peregrinus (peregrine falcon) is the source of this 1166-nucleotide long non-coding RNA. RefSeq lists it as uncharacterized. The transcript is spliced from 3 exons. The record is from RefSeq and is a predicted model, not a curated record. NCBI's taxonomy places the organism in Eukaryota, Metazoa, Chordata, Aves, Falconiformes, Falconidae.
UCGGUGCCGCCGCGGGCUCCCCUCAGCCUGCCGGCCCCGGGGCUCUGCGGGGGCCGCCCGCGGGGUGCGGGCUGUGCCCACAGCGGCUGCCUGGGGGGGCUCGGUCCCGAGGCGAAGCUGCUGGCCGAGAGCAGCUGCCGCUCGGUGUCACAGCCCCCCGGCCCGCCGCUGACCCCGCCCUGCAAGGCGCUGCACUUGCUUACAGACGCCCUGCCGAGAGCAACCGAGCUGCCCCUGCGAGCGGCUGGCACAGCGACGGAGCGGAAAGCAAAUCCUCGCCGGAGGGAUGAUCACUUCAGGUUCUGCACAUCUCAGUUCUGAGUAAUCACAAUGGACAAUCUCCACCGUCUCAGCCUCCUAGAGGUCAGGGUCUUGUGUACUUAGAAACUUCUUUGAACUGUCAGGAGAAAAAAAAAUCAAGGCUAUCUUCUGGGUGGAUAAGUGGACUUCCAGGAAUUUCUCCCGCAAUGAUUUGUGCAUAAUAAGGAUUUUUUUUCCUUAUCAUAGGAGAAGAGCACAAAGUCAAUCACAAGACAGAUUUAGUGGCCAGCCUCUUAAAUAUCUACUUGCAGAGCAGAGGCAGAAACGGUCUAAUGCCUGGCCUUUUGGCAGAUCAGACUGGGUAUGGUCAGAUGUGCCGGGGUAAAUAAACUGCUGGUGCCCUACAGAUGACCCACAAAAAAUUUGCAAUUUUCUGGCACUUUUUCACUCUUCCUUGAACACCUCUACAUUACAACUGUUUUUUUUUUCUUCUCCCUUAAUUGCUGUUCUUUAAGGGGUGUGGUGCUGAGAGAGGCAAGAUUUAUAUUAAAAGACAGCUUUUUCUUUUUCCCUGCUUGUUCACAGGUUAGUGAAUUACUCUAUGUGCCUUCCAGGCAUCACAGAAUCACAGAAUUGUUUAGGUUGGAAAAGACCUUUAAGAUCAUCAAGUCCAACUGUUAACCCAGCACUGCCAAGCCCACAACUGAACCAUGACCCUAAGCACCACAUCUACACCUCUUUCAAAUAUCUCCAGGGAUGGUGACACCAUGGCAUCCCUGGGCAGCCUGUUCCAGUGCUUGACAACUUUUUCAGUGAACAAUUUUUUUCCUAAUACUCAAUCUAAACUUCCCCUGGUACAACUUGAGGCUGUUCCCUCCUGUCCUGCCGCUGGUUCCUUGGGAGCA